ACUAUAGCAUUUCUUCCCACCUAACAAGACUUUACAACCCAAGGGCCUUCAUCGUCUACGCGGUAUUGCUGCGUCAGGGUUUCCCCCAUUGCGCAAUAUUCCCCACUGCUGCCUCCCGUAGGAGUCUGGGCCGUAUCUCAAUCCCAGUGUGGCCGUCCACCCUCUCAGGCCGGCUAACCAUCCUAACCUUGGUAGGCCGUUACCCCACCAACUAGCUAAUGGUACGCGAGUGCAUCCUAGAGCGAAAGCUUUCAUGAAUAGGCCUUCUUUGAUUAAAGUUCCAUGCGAAACCUUAAUAUCGUAAAGUAUUAGCACUCCUUUCGAAAUGUUAUCCUCUACUCCAGGGCAGCUUGCUCACGCGUUACUCACCCGUUCGCCACUUUACUCAGAGCCCGAAGGCUCCUUUCUCGUUCGACUUGCAUGUGUUAAGCAUACCGCCAGCGUUCGUUCUGAGCCAUGAUCAAACUCUAAUCGAAUUCCCGCGGCCGCCAUGGCGGCCGGGAGCAUGCGACGUCGGGCCCAAUUCGCCCUAUAGUGAGUCGUAUUACAAUUCACUGUSCCSSSKYSGUUUUACACACG
Molecule: ribosomal RNA, 579 nt
Filed under: uncultured bacterium
Lineage: Bacteria
Description: partial 16S ribosomal RNA
Source: RNAcentral